UAACCCUUAUUAAGCCGAGGGUUACCUAGCCAACUGACGUUGUUAGUGAACGAAUUUGUUCACAAUUAUAUAUCCGCCAAUCACGCCUAUUGUGAUUGGCGUUUUUUCU
RNAcentral lists this small RNA (109 nucleotides) under Vibrio marisflavi. RNAcentral's name for it is "Qrr". It matches the Rfam family "Qrr RNA". From Rfam's summary of the family: This family represents a set of small RNAs (the Qrr RNAs) that are thought to be involved in the regulation of quorum sensing in Vibrio species. It is believed that these RNAs, guided by a protein, Hfq, can mediate the destabilisation of the quorum-sensing master regulators LuxR/HapR mRNAs. The record is from RNAcentral. Lineage: Bacteria; Pseudomonadati; Pseudomonadota; Gammaproteobacteria; Vibrionales; Vibrionaceae.